UGAAGUGCUUAAUGGUUGUAUACGUAGUUUUAUUAUUGUCGACGUUGUUGUGGCAGACUUGUAGAACAGUAGUUGUGACAAAAGCACCUAAGUUGUAAGUACUGAAGGCAGAGGGGGCAGCGGUAACGGUGGUGGUAUAAUGAACAAGGCGGCAGUCACUCUUAAACAAGUGGUUAUGUUUACCUCGCUGCUCGGUCAUGCCUACCCUUUGCUGCUCGCCCUCACUUCAGGCACGCCCACCCCUACACUUCAUGACAGCAAGUAAGGAGAAGCGUACCAGCCAGCCUGCCCACCACACCCAAGUCGACAACCACUCUGUCGUCGCUGCAGAGAAACAGAAUCAACAUGACCCCCUAAGGCUCAGAGGAUUCCCAACAGUGCCAAUUAUCAGAUACUGACAAGAACGGACAGUCACCUUGCUAUGUCCAACAGACUCCUCCAGAAGCAAGGAACUGCCAGUCCGGUACAUCACAGGAGGCACUGCUAUUGGGCUGCAAAAAAAAAAUUCACCCUUCAGGAAGAUAUUUGACCACAGCCUGCAGAAGAUGUGCGAGUCAGGCCUGAUGAACAAGCUGAGGACCAAAUGGCUAUCAGCAGGAACCUCAAUGUGUGGCAGGAAGACUAAAAAUCAUGGCCAGCCUCUCUGAUGUGGCUGCAAUCUUCAUCCUUUUG
This is a long non-coding RNA of Scylla paramamosain (green mud crab), 672 nucleotides long. RefSeq lists it as uncharacterized. The record is from RefSeq and is a predicted model, not a curated record. Lineage: Eukaryota; Metazoa; Arthropoda; Malacostraca; Decapoda; Portunidae. The transcript is spliced from 5 exons.